This 253-nucleotide ribosomal RNA is filed under the name uncultured bacterium. Its description in RNAcentral is "partial 16S ribosomal RNA". It matches the Rfam family "Bacterial small subunit ribosomal RNA", at positions 524 to 776 of the family's 1533-position model. The record is from RNAcentral.
UACGUAGGGGGCAAGCGUUGUCCGGAAUCAUUGGGCGUAAAGAGCGUGUAGGCGGCCCGGUAAGUCCGCUGUAAAAGUCAAAGGCUUAACCUUUGAAUGUCAGUGGAUACUGCCGGGCUAGAGUCCGGAAGAGGAGAGUGGAAUUCCCGGUGUAGCGGUGAAAUGCGCAGAUAUCGGGAAGAACACCUAUGGCGAAGGCAGCUCUCUGGGACGGUACUGACGCUGAGACGCGAAAGCGUGGGGAGCGAACAGG